Molecule: long non-coding RNA, 1684 nt
Filed under: Pan troglodytes (chimpanzee)
Lineage: Eukaryota; Metazoa; Chordata; Mammalia; Primates; Hominidae
Description: long non-coding RNA NONPTRT006628
Source: RNAcentral
UAGCACAGCUGUUUCUAGGGUCUGGAAAAACUCUAAGGACCCCCAGGAGGAUACACACCAGAUUGGGUCUGGGCUCACACCACCCUGCAUCCCCAGAGCCUCCCUGGACGCUGUUUGCAAGGUCCUCACCGCCUGGAAGUCCAGGAGCCAUUUUUAGGGAACAGCAUUCAAACUCAACACGGCAAGUUCCCUCUUUCCUGCAGGGGAGGACCAGAAGGGAGCCGGAGAUGGGGGAGAAGGGUGGGAGGUGGAUGGUUUGGAAAAGGGAUGGAGACCCAGACAGAGCGAAGCCAGCCAGCCAGGGUGAGGGAACAAGCUGCUGUGCUGCCCAGGAGAGGCCUGGCCUCAGGCUGCCACCCUCAGGGAGGUAGACGCGGCUGUGACAGCAGCACAGAAUGACGGCCAAGGGCGACAGCAGGGGCUGGCCAUGCUGUAAAGGGGCUUCCUGGGAGGGUCCAGCCUCAGGAAUCAACGGGAAAUCCUGAGCCGAGAAUUCUGAAGAUCUCCUCCCUCCCUGAAGCUGUGGGCUGGGCCGUCGGAAAACUUUCAGUUUUGUUUCCUUGCCUGCAAGAAACGAAACUCAACCGAAAGCCUGCAGAGAGCAGAACAUGGAAGGAGACUUCUCGGUGUGCAGGAACUGUAAAAGACAUGUAGUCUCUGCCAACUUCACCCUCCAUGAGGCUUACUGCCUGCGGUUCCUGGUCCUGUGUCCGGAGUGUGAGGAGCCUGUCCCCAAGGAAACCACGGAGGAGCACUGCAAGGUGGAGCACCAGCAGGCUUAUGGAUCUGGCAUAGGCAAGAGGUUCUGGUUUCAGGAAAGACUGGCUGUUCUCUUGAGAUCUGUAAAGAGAGGAUGUGAAAAAGGAAGGUCCUGGAAGGCAGUCAGAUGGAGCCCUGUUUCCCGCCUUUCCAUGUCCAUUCCUCCUGGGGCCCCUGAUCUGUCUCUCUGGAGAUACUCAAGCUCAGGCAGCCGUUGCCAACUCAGACUGGUCUGAGAAACACUUCUUGAACACUGGGCUGGGUGCUAGAGAGACACUGAGGUAGCCACAUCGGAUCCCUGCCCUCUGGGAGUUCACAGACCCAAACCCGGAACACCGUGAGCCAAAGUGGAUGUAGGGCAGGCUCUGGGUGUUGGGUGGACCCACAUCUGGUGUGUGUGUGUGUGUGUGUGUGUGUGUGUGUUUAGGUUGGGUGUACGAUGUGUCAGCAGAGCAUGCAGAAGUCCUCGCUGGAGUUUCAUAAGGUAAGAGCCCCAUGUGAUUUCUCCUUUACAGCCAAAUAGACCAACCUGAGAAAAGGAGAGGAAGGGGAAACGGGAGGCCAGUAAUAGAGAUUUCCACCUGACCACUCUUUUCACCCCAUUAGGCUUGGAGAGCAGUGGAGAACUAGCCCACCGCAUAACACAGGUCCUCCUGUCCCCCAGAUACUGGUCAGAAGGGUUUUCCAUGGUCCAUGAGUCCAUCAGAGCUCAGAUUCCCCGAAGGCAAUCCCGCAUUCUGGCCCUUCUCAUCUGCUUUCUCGUAUUGGCCCUAAUUCCCUAGGGAGAUGGGCACAAGUCCUUGAUCUGCCUACAGUCAAAGAGGCCAGUGAUCGGCCAGGCGCAGUGGCACACACCUGUAAUCCCAGCACUUUGGGAGGCCAAGGCGAGCGGAUCACGAGGUCAGGAGUUCGAGACCAGCCUGAC